RNAcentral lists this ribosomal RNA (1352 nucleotides) under uncultured bacterium. Its description in RNAcentral is "bacterial SSU rRNA". It matches the Rfam family "Bacterial small subunit ribosomal RNA", at positions 28 to 1381 of the family's 1533-position model. The record is from RNAcentral.
AUUAAACGCUGUCGGCAUGCCUUACACAUGCAAGUCGAACGGUAACGGGUCCUUCGGGAUGCCGACGAGUGGCGAACGGGUGAGUAAUAUAUCGGAACGUGCCCAGUAGUGGGGGAUAACUGCUCGAAAGAGCAGCUAAUACCGCAUACGACCUGAGGGUGAAAGGGGGGGAUCGCAAGACCUCUCGCUAUUGGAGCGGCCGAUAUCAGAUUAGCUAGUUGGUGGGGUAAAGGCCUACCAAGGCAACGAUCUGUAGUUGGUCUGAGAGGACGACCAGCCACACUGGGACUGAGACACGGCCCAGACUCCUACGGGAGGCAGCAGUGGGGAAUUUUGGACAAUGGGCGCAAGCCUGAUCCAGCAAUGCCGCGUGCAGGAAGAAGGCCUUCGGGUUGUAAACUGCUUUUGUCAGGGAAGAAAUCUUCUGGGCUAAUACCCCGGGAGGAUGACGGUACCUGAAGAAUAAGCACCGGCUAACUACGUGCCAGCAGCCGCGGUAAUACGUAGGGUGCGAGCGUUAAUCGGAAUUACUGGGCGUAAAGCGUGCGCAGGCGGCUUUGCAAGACAGAUGUGAAAUCCCCGGGCUCAACCUGGGAACUGCAUUUGUGACUGCAAGGCUAGAGUACGGCAGAGGGGGAUGGAAUUCCGCGUGUAGCAGUGAAAUGCGUAGAUAUGCGGAGGAACACCAAUGGCGAAGGCAAUCCCCUGGGCCUGUACUGACGCUCAUGCACGAAAGCGUGGGGAGCAAACAGGAUUAGAUACCCUGGUAGUCCACGCCCUAAACGAUGUCAACUGGUUGUUGGACGGCUUGCUGUUCAGUAACGAAGCUAACGCGUGAAGUUGACCGCCUGGGGAGUACGGCCGCAAGGUUGAAACACAAAGGAAUUGACGGGGACCCGCACAAGCGGUGGAUGAUGUGGUUUAAUUCGAUGCAACGCGAAAAACCUUACCUACCCUUGACAUGUCAAGAAUUCUGCAGAGAUGUGGAAGUGCUCGAAAGAGAACUUGAACACAGGUGCUGCAUGGCCGUCGUCAGCUCGUGUCGUGAGAUGUUGGGUUAAGUCCCGCAACGAGCGCAACCCUUGUCAUUAGUUGCUACGCAAGAGCACUCUAAUGAGAUUGCCGGUGACAAACCGGAGGAAGGUGGGGAUGACGUCAGGUCCUCAUGGCCCUUAUGGGUAGGGCUACACACGUCAUACAAUGGCCGGUACAGAGGGCUGCCAACCCGCGAGGGGGAGCCAAUCCCAGAAAACCGGUCGUAGUCCGGAUCGUAGUCUGCAACUCGACUGCGUGAAGUCGGAAUCGCUAGUAAUCGCGGAUCAGCUUGCCGCGGUGAAUACGUUCCCGGGUCU